AGUACAUAUGCUAACACUGGAACCAUACAGUGGAACCAUACAGCCAAGAUUAGCAUGGCUCCUGAGCAAGGAUGACAAAUUCAUGAAACAUUCCACAUAUUU
Small nuclear RNA from Sciurus vulgaris (Eurasian red squirrel), 102 nucleotides. Lineage: Eukaryota; Metazoa; Chordata; Mammalia; Rodentia; Sciuridae. The record is from Ensembl.